RNAcentral lists this ribosomal RNA (255 nucleotides) under uncultured bacterium. RNAcentral describes it as "partial 16S ribosomal RNA". It matches the Rfam family "Bacterial small subunit ribosomal RNA", at positions 524 to 778 of the family's 1533-position model. The record is from RNAcentral.
UACAGAGGUCUCAAGCGUUGUUCGGAUUCAUUGGGCGUAAAGGGUGCGUAGGCGGCGCGGUAAGUCGGGUGUGAAAUCUCGGAGCUUAACUCCGAAACUGCAUUCGAUACUGCGGUGCUUGAGGACUGGAGAGGAGACUGGAAUUCAUGGUGUAGCAGUGAAAUGCGUAGAGAUCAUGAGGAAGACCAGUGGCGAAGGCGGGUCUCUGGACAGUUUCUGACACUGAGACACGAAGGCCAGGGGAGCAAAACGGGG